RNAcentral lists this ribosomal RNA (253 nucleotides) under uncultured bacterium. RNAcentral describes it as "partial 16S ribosomal RNA". It matches the Rfam family "Bacterial small subunit ribosomal RNA", at positions 524 to 776 of the family's 1533-position model. The record is from RNAcentral.
UACGUAGGGUGCGAGCGUUGUCCGGAAUUAUUGGGCGUAAAGGGCUCGUAGGCGGUUUGUCGCGUCGGGAGUGAAAACCAGGUGCUUAACACCUGGCUUGCUUUCGAUACGGGCAGACUAGAGGUAUUCAGGGGAGAACGGAAUUCCAGGUGUAGCGGUGAAAUGCGUAGAUAUCUGGAGGAACACCGGUGGCGAAGGCGGCAUCCUGGACCGACAUUGACGCUGAGGCGCGAAAGCCAGGGGAGCAAACGGG